This is a long non-coding RNA of Hermetia illucens (black soldier fly), 1096 nucleotides long. RefSeq lists it as uncharacterized. The transcript has 2 exons. Lineage: Eukaryota; Metazoa; Arthropoda; Insecta; Diptera; Stratiomyidae. The record is from RefSeq and is a predicted model, not a curated record.
CCCGCGAGGUGUAUCACUUCAUCUGCUGGAGUCAUGUUCUUUUUUCGUUUUGGCCGUGAUAACAUUGGUGAAGCUGCCACACUUGUUGAUGCACUUGAUCCAUCAUCCCCCGAUGUCGGAGGAGCCGGUGUGUUUAUCUCUCGUCGUUGAAAGUGGUCUUGUUUCCUAAAACAGCAAGUGAGUGGUUAAAAAUCGCUUCAGAUUUUGAUGAGAAGUGGCAAUUUCCUCACUGUUUGGGGGCGAUCGAUGGAAAGCAUGUCCGGAUUGUGCAACCCAAGGAUAGCGGUUCCUACUACUUCAAUUACAAAAAGACACACAGUAUAGUCUUGAUGGCUAUAGCAAACGCUCACUGUGAAUUUAUAUAUUGUGAUGUAGGAACGAACGGUAGAAUAUCUGAUGGAGGCGUCAUAAACAACACUCUUUUCUAUGAAAAACUUGUAAAUAAGCAACUGAACAUUCCUGAACCUGAACCAGUUACCUUCGAUCUUGAUCUGGAAUAUGUAUUUGUGGGGGACGACGCCUUUGCAUAGCGCCCUGAUCUUAUUAAGCCAUACAGCCGGGAUUCCCUUAACAACGAGAGAAAAAUUUGCAACUAUCGCAUAUCGAGGGCACGGCGAGUGGUUGAGAACAGUUUUGGAAUUUUAGCUUCACGAUUCCGCAUUUUUCACACCGCAAUAAACUUAGAUGUGGAAACCAUUGAAUCAGUAGUUCUUGCGUGCUGUGCUUUGCACAACUUAUUGCGAAAAAAAUCAGCCACCUACACCCCUCCUGAUAGUUUUGAUCAUGAAAAUAUUAUCGAUGGUACUAUUCAACUAGGUGCAAGGGCUCAUCCCGAUUUGCUACACAACCUGCAACGUCGUUCAGGAGGUCAAGUUUUACAACACGCGAAAACUGUUCGAGAAAAGUUCUGUAUGUAUUUUAACGGUGAGGGGUCAGUUCCUUGGCAAGAAAAAUUUGCACUUAACGCUUGAAAUUAACAGUUCUAAAGUUAAAGCAUACUAUACAAACACUAGAUUGAAUAAUUUGUUUUAUUAUUGUAACAAUUCAACCAAAUCAUUACACUAUUUAUGCUAUUAAUAAAUUGCAUUUUUACUUA